Molecule: ribosomal RNA, 108 nt
Filed under: Candidatus Heimdallarchaeota archaeon
Lineage: Archaea; Promethearchaeati; Candidatus Heimdallarchaeota
Description: partial 16S ribosomal RNA
Rfam family: Archaeal small subunit ribosomal RNA
Source: RNAcentral
GGUUUGGGUGAGGCCUGGUUCUUCGGAUCAGAACGAGCCUGGACUCAGUGAGACGCAAGAAGUCGUAACAAGGUGCCCGUAGCGGAAGCUGCGGGCGGAUCACCUCCU